RNAcentral lists this non-coding RNA (760 nucleotides) under Plaxiscelis pagana. The record is from RNAcentral. Lineage: Eukaryota; Metazoa; Arthropoda; Insecta; Hemiptera; Coreidae.
UUGAUCCUGUCUUUUACAAUUAGUUUUUAGUUAACAUUAAAUAUAAGUUUUUGCGGGCUAUUAAUUUAUCUUAAUGGUGAAUUUAUUUUUAUUUGUAGUUUUUAAUUUUAUUUCAUCAAAUAUUUUUGGAAAUAGUUAAAUUAAUAAGAAUCGUUAAAUUUUGUGCCAGCAAACGCGGUUACACAAUUGAUUCAAUUUAAUUUUUUUGGUUUAUAUUUAUUUAUUUUAUUUAAGUUAAAUAGAAAAUUAUAAGGUGAAAUUUUUAAUUUUAUUUAUUCUUUAGGUUUAAGAAAAUAAGAAAUUUAGUUUUUAAACUAGGAUUAGAUACCCUAUUAUUCUAAAUGUAAAAAUUUAACCAUAGUAUUAAUAGUUAAGAUCUUUAAAUUAAAAGGAUUUGGCGGUAAUUUAGUCUUUUCAGAGGAACCUGUUCUUUAAUCGAUAAUCCACGUUGUAUUUUACUUUAAUUUAUUGUUUGUAUAUCUCUGUUAAUGAAUGUUUUAUUAGAAUAUUUUCUUUUAUUAUUAUUUAAUUAAUAUCAGGUCAAGGUGCAGCUAUAUUAAAGGUUGAAAUGGGUUACAUUUAUUUUUAUUUAUUGAAUUAUUAAUAUUGUAAAUUAUAUAAUAUGAAAUAGGAUUUGAAAGUAAUUUUUUUUAUUUAUUAAAAAUGAUUUUAGCUCUAAAUUAUGUACACAUCGCCCGUCGUUCUCAUUCCUAAGGUGAGAUAAGUCGUAACAAAGUAAUUUUACCGGAAGGUGAAGUUG